AUUGAACGCUGGCGGCAGGCUUAACACAUGCAAGUCGAGCGGAGAUGAGGUGCUUGCACCUUAUCUUAGCGGCGGACGGGUGAGUAAUGCUUAGGAAUCUGCCAUUUAGUGGGGGACAACAUUCCGAAAGGAAUGCUAAUACCGCUUACGUCCUACGGGAGAAAGCAGGGGAUCUUCGGACCUUGCGCUAAAUGAUGAGCCUAAGUCGGAUUAGCUAGUUGGUGGGGUAAAGGCCUACCAAGGCGACGAUCUGUAGCGGGUCUGAGAGGAUGAUCCGCCACACUGGGACUGAGACACGGCCCAGACUCCUACGGGAGGCAGCAGUGGGGAAUAUUGGACAAUGGGGGGAACCCUGAUCCAGCCAUGCCGCGUGUGUGAAGAAGGCCUUAUGGUUGUAAAGCACUUUAAGCGAGGAGGAGGCUACUGAGACUAAUACUCUUGGAUAGUGGACGUUACUCGCAGAAUAAGCACCGGCUAACUCUGUG
RNAcentral lists this ribosomal RNA (485 nucleotides) under uncultured bacterium. RNAcentral describes it as "partial 16S ribosomal RNA". It matches the Rfam family "Bacterial small subunit ribosomal RNA", at positions 30 to 507 of the family's 1533-position model. The record is from RNAcentral.